This 869-nucleotide unclassified non-coding RNA is filed under the name Hevea brasiliensis (rubber tree). The record is from RNAcentral. Lineage: Eukaryota; Viridiplantae; Streptophyta; Magnoliopsida; Malpighiales; Euphorbiaceae.
GAAAUAUAUAUGUAUGAAAUAUAAAAUUGUCCUGUUAGCAAAAAUGUUUAUGAACCCAAACAAAAAUAUAUUACAAUGCCACACAUGUCAUUACCCCAACAUCAUUUUUCCUUCUACAUGGUUUUAUAUUAAACACAUCCAUACGAAGGGAGACACUUAUUUACAUUCCAAGCAGUAAUAGCAAGCAUGAGUCUCUUUUUCUUAGGAUCUAAUAAUACCUGACGAAUUGAUUGACUGCUUCUUUAGCAAAUCCUUAGUCUUUUUAAUCAAAUGCGGAAUUCUGAUAAAGGAAAGCAAAGAAGAGAUUCCGCCAGUCACCCAUGACAAAAUUUCGGCUUGAUCCUUAGAAGUAAUACCAUCACCAUAGUCCUUAUCAUCAUCGUCAUCCAAAUAAUUUAAAUUCCAUGAUACCCUUAUCAUGAAAUAAAAUAAGAAGCAGAAGAAGCUCAACCCAAUGACACAAAUGACGAUUCUAAAGGAAGGCGUUAGAACUGCAUAAGUGCCUGUCACAAAUGUAAUCACCAUUGCUACCAUAGCAUAGAAGAGGAAACUGAAAGCAUAUCUUAUUAACGAAUAGUAUCUUUUCCGAUAUCCCACGACCACCAGCAUAAGGUGAAUAAAGACAGAGCAAGUAGAUAAAACCAUAGCUAUAGUAUCUGAUAUCAUAAAUGCUUUAAAAGCCAAAUUUUUGCCUAGGAUAGGACUCCCCUUCUUCAAAUCGUUUUCUUCACUGAUAUUACCGCCAGGUAAAGUGAAACCUGCGGCAAAAGUUACCGUUGCUAUAAGUGUUGCAGCCACCAAAUGAGAGUCUUUGACUUUUUCGAAUUUAAGUACCAUGUUUUUUAUUCUCCUUUCUUCUUGUUCCUCUU